Molecule: ribosomal RNA, 710 nt
Filed under: uncultured bacterium
Lineage: Bacteria
Description: bacterial SSU rRNA
Rfam family: Bacterial small subunit ribosomal RNA
Source: RNAcentral
AGCGGCGGACGGGUGAGUAACGCGUGGGUAACCUGCCCUAUACACACGGAUAACAUACCGAAAGGUAUGCUAAUACGAGAUAAUAUAAGAGAUUCACAUGGAUUUCUUAUCAAAGCUGAGGCGGUAUAGGAUGGACCCGCGUCUGAUUAGCUAGUUGGUAAGGUAACGGCUUACCAAGGCGACGAUCAGUAGCCGACCUGAGAGGGUGAUCGGCCACAUUGGAACUGAGACACGGUCCAAACUCCUACGGGAGGCAGCAGUGGGGAAUAUUGCACAAUGGGCGAAAGGCUGAUGCAGCAACGCCGCGUGAGUGAUGAAGGCCUUCGGGUCGUAAAACUCUGUCCUCAAGGAAGAUAAUGACGGUACUUGAGGAGGAAGCCCCGGCUAACUACGUGCCAGCAGCCGCGGUAAUACGUAGGGGGCUAGCGUUAUCCGGAUUUACUGGGCGUAAAGGGUGCGUAGGUGGUCUCUUAAGUCAGGAGUGAAAGGCUACGGCUUAACCGUAGUAAGCUCUUGAAACUGGGAGACUUGAGUGCAGGAGAGGAAAGUGGAAUUCCUAGUGUAGCGGUGAAAUGCGUAGAUAUUAGGAGGAACACCAGUAGCGAAGGCGGCUUUCUGGACUGUAACUGACACUGAGGCACGAAAGCGUGGGGAGCAAACAGGAUUAGAUACCCUGGUAGUCCACGCCGUAAACGAUGAGUACUAGGUGU